This 478-nucleotide ribosomal RNA is filed under the name uncultured bacterium. Its description in RNAcentral is "partial 16S ribosomal RNA". It matches the Rfam family "Bacterial small subunit ribosomal RNA", at positions 28 to 507 of the family's 1533-position model. The record is from RNAcentral.
GAUGAACGCUGGCGGCGUGCUUAACACAUGCAAGUCGAACGGGAAACCUUUUAUUGAAGCUUCGGCAGAUUUAGCUGGUUUCUAGUGGCGGACGGGUGAGUAACGCGUGGGUAACCUGCCCUAUACAGGGGGAUAACAACCAGAAAUGGUUGCUAAUACCGCAUAAGCGCACAGGGCCGCAUGGUCCGGUGUGAAAAACUCCGGUGGUAUAGGAUGGACCCGCGUUGGAUUAGCCAGUUGGCAGGGUAACGGCCUACCAAAGCGACGAUCCAUAGCCGGCCUGAGAGGGUGAACGGCCACAUUGGGACUGAGACACGGCCCAGACUCCUACGGGAGGCAGCAGUGGGGGAUAUUGCAAAAUGGGGGAAACCCUGAUGCAGCGACGCCGCGUGAAGGAAGAAGUAUCUCGGUAUGUAAACUUCUAUCAGCAGGGAAGAUAGUGACGGUACCUGAAUAAGAAGCCCCGGCUAACUACGUG